RNAcentral lists this small nuclear RNA (18 nucleotides) under Arabidopsis thaliana (thale cress). Its description in RNAcentral is "snRNA_12778". Lineage: Eukaryota; Viridiplantae; Streptophyta; Magnoliopsida; Brassicales; Brassicaceae. The record is from RNAcentral.
CCAGUGGCGCGAAGCUAC